This 1111-nucleotide long non-coding RNA is filed under the name Triticum aestivum (bread wheat). RNAcentral describes it as "long non-coding RNA (TAES_LNC025565)". Lineage: Eukaryota; Viridiplantae; Streptophyta; Magnoliopsida; Poales; Poaceae. The record is from RNAcentral.
CCCCAUCCGCCGCCGCUACAAGCAACCCUGGGAUUGCGACGACCUCAGCCAUGAGAUGCGGUGCUAGAAGUUAGCUUAUUUUUUCUCGAUGAGGCAUUCCUUUCUUAUUGUCUGUUUGGUUUGUGAAUUUUUGCUACUACUGACAGGGAAUAGAACAGCCUUUGAACUUCUAUAUUUUUGCUCCAGGUGCAUGGUAUGGCUGCCAUCGUCUGCUGCUAGCUACCGUUGCCUCUGCGGUCCGCUGCUAGCUGCCGCUGUAGUCCGCUGCUAGCUUCGCUGCAGUCCACCGCUAGCUCAUGCGGGGAGGUGGUGCUGCUCUGACAACUCCUUCCUCGAGCAUAGCCAGUCUCCAGCCGCCUCCAACAGCCGCAACCCGCCAGAUCCGACAGAUGCUCAUGCGUGGGAGUGAUGUUACUCCGACGAGCUCCUUCAUCCCCGAGCAAAGCGCGUAGACAAUAGCCUCCUUCCUCUCGUUCCCUCUUCCAUCUGCCAAGCACAAUUCCGGCGAGCUUGUCGACCAGUGAGUCCUAUUGCCGCUGAUGCUACUAUUGAUCACCAUCGCGUGGCUAUAGAGCAUCCAUGGAAGGUCGACUAAAAUUGUCAUCGCAGGUCGAGUAAUAGUGGCAGCGACAACACAGCCACACGUGGCUAAAAAUGCAUGGUGAUAAUUGAAAGUCUGAGCGUGAGAGAGUUUUCGGAGCACAUGUUUUCUGUUUGCUGCAAAAACACAAAAAAGUUGGCCAUGUGUGUUGGCCAUAUGCCCGUGAGACUGAAAACUGUUCUCAUUUCAUGUCAGCCAAAAGAGAAAUUGUGGAUGUGUUGUGCGUGUGCGUAUGCGCGCAGGUUACACUGAAUUAAAAAAACUACUUUUUGUCAUGUUUUUCCAUAUUAGUUUUGUAGUGUUAGUUUUUUGUGUUCAUGGAGUAAAAAAAUAGGAAGUUCAAUUUUGAGAAAGCAGCGAGUUCAACCAAUAUGGAUACACUAAAAAAUACAUUGAAUACAAUAUUUUUUAGUGAGGUUCAAAUUGGAAAGACAUGAUAAAAAGGUAUUUUCUGCUCCUUACAAUAAAAAAGGUAUCAUGGGUUGGUUGGUUUCCCCAACUAGUUUCUCU